Mercurialis annua (annual mercury) is the source of this 517-nucleotide long non-coding RNA. RefSeq lists it as uncharacterized. The record is from RefSeq and is a predicted model, not a curated record. The transcript is spliced from 3 exons. Lineage: Eukaryota; Viridiplantae; Streptophyta; Magnoliopsida; Malpighiales; Euphorbiaceae.
UCAAAUAUUCAUUUCCAGCAAACAUAAAGAGAAGAAGAACUCCAUCUUCUCUAAAUUUCCUAAAACUUCUAUUCAUCACCAAAGCUUCAUUUAUUGUCCAUUUUGAGCGAUUUUCGCGGCGUUGGAACGAGGGAAGGAUUCCCUACUGAUCUGAGACUUCAAUUCAAGAUUCUACGAACCAUAUGACUGACGAUUUGAAGGAAGUGGGUGAUUAAGCGACGUGCCGUUCAUUUUAUUUGCUUGUUAUUAUAUUUGGAUUAAGCGAUCGAGUGUUUUCUUUCAGGAUUAAUAUAUGACGAUGUGGUCGAGCUUCCAUUCAUUGUUCCGGAAGUCUCAGUUAUGGAAAGUUUUAUCCUUCUUAGAGCUGCAGUAGUCAUGAUAAUAGACCUAGCCGAUAGCAAAUGAUUUAUGUUGUUUUACGCCUUGUACUAUAAAUAUAUUUUCGAAAAGGAAAUUAUCCAGAAAUUUAAUAUAUGGUUAUUUGGUAUGUUAUACAGGGUGGUUUGUGUGUUUUUAA